Molecule: ribosomal RNA, 421 nt
Filed under: uncultured bacterium
Lineage: Bacteria
Description: bacterial SSU rRNA
Rfam family: Bacterial small subunit ribosomal RNA
Source: RNAcentral
UGGGGAAUAUUGGACAAUGGGCGAAAGCCUGAUCCAGCCACGCCGCGUGAGUGAUGAAGGCCUUCGGGUCGUAAAGCUCUGUGGGGAGGGACGAAUUGCCGGGUGAAGAACCCGGAGUGACGGUACCUCCUUAGCAAGCACCGGCUAACUUCGUGCCAGCAGCCGCGGUAAUACGAAGGGUGCAAACGUUGCUCGGAAUCAUUGGGCGUAAAGCGCACGUAGGCGGCCCUGUAAGUCGGAUGUGAAAUCCCUCGGCUCAACUGAGGACGUGCAUCCGAAACUGCAGAGCUCGAGUAUGGAAGAGGGUCGCGGAAUUCCCGGUGUAGAGGUGAAAUUCGUAGAUAUCGGGAGGAACACCAGUGGCGAAGGCGGCGACCUGGGCCAAUACUGACGCUGAGGUGCGAAAGCGUGGGGAGCAAAC